GACAAGAGCAUAUGGUGGAUGCCUAGGUUUGAAAUGGCGAUGAAGGACGUGGACAAUCUGCGAUAAGUCUCGGGGAGCCGAUUCUCAGGCUUUGAUCCGGGAAUUUCCUAAUGGGGGAACCCCUCUGCUUUUAUAGGCAGAGAUCCGACAGGGAUAACUUCUGUUGGAGGCGCACCUGGGGAAGUAAAACAUUUCAGUACCCAGAGGAAAAGAGACCAAAUAAGGAAUUUCCUUAGUAGCGGCGAGCGAAACGGAACCAGCCCAAACCCUCCUUCGCUUUGUGCUUCGCACAAAGCUUUGGAAGGCACAGCUGAUGAGCGAGGUUACAAAUCGUGAGGAUAGGAGAAAGUGCUGGAAAAGCACUAUCAGAGAGGGUGAUAAUCCCGUAUCCGAAAUCUGAACGACCUUUUUUAUUGCUCUUGAGUACUUCGAGACAUGAAUAGCUCGGAGGAAUUUGCCAGUACUCACUGGUAAGGCUACAUACAUUUCAAAACCGAUAGUGAACAAGUACCGUGAGGGAAAGGUGAAAAGAACCCCGGCAAGGGGAGUGAAAUAGAACUGAAACCAUAUGUUUACAAAGAGUCGAAGUCGCGUCUGACGCGACGACGGCGUGCCUAUUGAAGAAUGAGCCAACGAGUGUAUCGAUACUGCUCGGCUAAGGUGUUACGCACCGUAGUCACAGCGAAAGCGAGUGUGAUAAGCGCGACCAAUGUAGUAUCUAUACGACCCGAAGCAGAGUGAUCUUACCAUGAGCAGGAUGAAGUUCGCCGAAAGGCGAAUGGAGGUCCGAACCGGGGCGCCGUACGAAACGCUCGGAUGACUUGUGGUAGGGAGUGAAAAGCUAAUCGAACUCUGUAAUAGCUGGUUCUCUCCGAAACAGCUUUUGGGUUGGCGUCAUGAGUUCCCACUGGGGGUAGAGCACUGGAUAGUAUCGGAUAGCGGGAAACCGCGCCGAGCUUAUCAAACUCCGAAUACCAGUGGCCAUAUCAUGGCAGUUAGUCUAUGGGCGCGAAGGUCCAUUAGACAAAAGGGAAACAGCCCAGAUCGCCAAAUAAGGUCCCUAAAUCUAUGUUAAGUGCAAGUAAGGAGGUGAAGUUUCUCCGACAAUCAGGAGGUUGGCUUAGAAGCAGCCACCCUUUAAAGAUAGCGUAACAGCUCACUGAUCAAGAGACUCUGCACCGCUAAUAAUCGGGGCUCAAACAUAGUACCGAAUUUGCGGGUUUUCUUGCCCUCGGGCAAGGAAGCGGUAGGAGAGCGUUGUCAUCUGCGUUGAAGCUGAAGGGGUAACCCACAGUGGAGCGUUGACAAGUGAGAAUGUUGGCACAAGUAACCACAACACAGGUAAA
This 1346-nucleotide ribosomal RNA is filed under the name Candidatus Nomurabacteria bacterium GW2011_GWA2_40_9. RNAcentral's name for it is "bacterial LSU rRNA". It matches the Rfam family "Bacterial large subunit ribosomal RNA", at positions 1 to 1325 of the family's 2925-position model. Lineage: Bacteria; Candidatus Nomuraibacteriota. The record is from RNAcentral.